AUGGCCGACAUGUGGGGCCGCUGCGGACACCGAGAGGACGCGCAGCGCGUUCACUUCGUGUCCGCGCCGACGCAUUUUAGGCCCAAAUUACACGAAGCGAACGCAUUUUGGGUUUGGGUCCGCGCUUUGGGCCGACGUUUUUGUCCGCGGCGACCCAAACAGACAUGGCCGGGCCACAUUAGAUUUCCUCUAACAGUCGACAAGAGGGGACUUCGUGGACCAUACUACAGCAACACCGGGCAAAAAGGUGAAAAAUCAUGUUUGUUUCAGCACUACUAUGCGUUUACUACUGUCGUGGAAAGCAGCAUGCUGAUAGGAUCAAACGUACAGAGUAAGUUCAGACAAGAACCGACGAGAGGCUACUUUGAGAGGACGAGGAUCAUAGCUAACCGUCCUCUCAAAGUAGCUAAUGUUUUACUCCUACCAAAUACUAAACGCACACACGCCACCGAGGAGAAAAGCAUCGAUGAGGUUGCAACCAAGUGUCAUCAUCGUCACGCCUUCACGAGGCGACUCCGACUCCACAACCGACGACCAUCGAAGAAGCCCUCGCCGCAAACAAGCGUCGAGGCCUGUGCCGACCGAUGCAAAACAGUCAGCCGCACGCGUCGGCGGCCAGGCAACUUUGACUCUAUUGACAAGCAUAGCAAGAGAAAAGCGUUGGGCUUGUGCCGAGCCAGCGCCAGAGCCGACCACCCGUCUCAUGUCAUCGUCACCCCAAGGGCCCCUCCUCAACAACUCCGACUUCAGGAAGACAAAGCGAGACACGGUGACCCCUUGAACACAUCGGAAGAGACCGACUACCAAGACCCGUUAGCAAACCAGCUCAACUCGAAGCCGCCAUCGUUGCCAGACAAGAAGCCACGCAAACAUCCACCUCGCUGGAUGGACACCAGCCGACCGCAAUGUCGUGACCGUCCAGCCCAUGGAGCGCGCAAACAUCCACACCGCCGGACAGACACCAGCCGACCGCAAUGUCAGGGAAGCAAUGAUGACGACGCGGUCGCCCGACCUGGCCUUAGGCUUUCACUCGAAGAGCAAGAUCCGAGGGUGGCGGACACGGGGAUCCACGAUGGCAUCUCCAAGGAGGUGAAACGACGCCCAUGGCCGCCGAUGUCGCCAGUCGGCAAGAACCCGACAAACUUUUGCCCAGAGCACCCGGCACCACCGGCACCCCCACGCACAGCACCUUCAAGCCACCACAAUCCACUCCUCACCGGCAGCCAGAGCAACGCCAACAAGUCAAAUCUAGCCGUUAGCCAGAUUCGUAUCCCCCCACCUCAGGCAGCCAAAGGGACCGCACACAGCAGGCAACCACCACUUAGGGGUCGCCGCUGCCGCACACAGGGAGCUGCUGCUGCAGCACAAGGGGCGUCGGCGGAGAAGCCAAUCACCAGGUUGCCACCACCAUCAGGCCACAGGAGUCGCCACGCCGUCCAUGAGCAAGGGGAAGGAGGGCCGCCACCCCUCCUAACCCAUACCGGCCAGAUCCAUGAACGGAGCCGCCGUUGCCGCACACAGGGGAGCUGUCGCGGUGGGCCACCGAGCCGGGGAAACGAGAGCCUCCCGCUACCGAGGAACCAUGCCGCUGCGCAGCGAACGCCCCACCGCUGUCGUCUGCUGCGCGGGCUUAGUAAGAUUUAUAACAUGCUUAAACUUCCUUCUGAUUCUUUUCCUCUCGGGUUUCUAGCAUUUUCUUGUGAGGUUCCGGUUUCCAAAAAUACAUUUUCUGGGGAGAUUGUGAAAGCCAAAAUUCUGAAGAUAUGUGAUGUUCGUGCAAAACAUUACCCUUUUCGUGAAGACCUUGCUAAACAAAUGCAUCCUGUUGAGGAGUUGCAUGUAGGGAUGCAGGGCGGCGCCCAAUCCGCUUCCAGUUCAAAACGUGAAAAAUCUGUUUUAGCUGGAUCAGAAAAUAGAGAGAGGAGAAAUGACAGCCGUGAGGGCAGCACCAAUAUGUAG
This 1959-nucleotide ribosomal RNA is filed under the name Triticum aestivum (bread wheat). RNAcentral describes it as "partial small subunit ribosomal RNA". The record is from RNAcentral. Lineage: Eukaryota; Viridiplantae; Streptophyta; Magnoliopsida; Poales; Poaceae.